RNAcentral lists this non-coding RNA (24 nucleotides) under Arabidopsis thaliana (thale cress). The record is from RNAcentral. Lineage: Eukaryota; Viridiplantae; Streptophyta; Magnoliopsida; Brassicales; Brassicaceae.
CAGUUCUCGGUUGCCAGGUUGUGU